UUUAUGGCUCAUAACUUUCAGUUUGGAGUCGAGCGGAAGUGGUUAAAGAGACGUUAAAAGAAGGAAGUUUGGUUUGGAGGAAAUGAGUUAAAAUAAAUUACUCACAUUAAAUGAGAUGAGAUACAAAUGGAGUGUAGAACAGAAAUAAUGUGCACAAAAAACAUCAGAAACAUCAGACAGACAAACACCAACAGCACAGAGAGAGAAAUGGAAGACAGAAGUGAGACACAGACGCCUGGAUCACACGAGAGAAACAGACAGAAACCCUUGAGAUGUGAGAGUAUGGAGAAACUAAAACCAAGCUUCUCAUGUGAUCCAGACGGGCCUGUGAAGUUUCACUCAGAUGUUCUGAACACAAGAUCAGUGAUGUCCGGAUACCAGCAGCAGAAGACCAGAGCAUCAUCAUCAUCAUCAUCAUCUGGACUACAGUCUGUUGAGCUACUGGAUUCUCAGCUUUUACACACUCAUCUGAGCACAAGCAAACACACUACUAAACCGAUUCUUUCUCAGAUCUGUGUCUCAAUACUGCAGUGAUGUUUUCAGUAUAUAUUACUCAUGGAAACACUCUGGACAGACGGCUGGUCCUUCACACAGCACACAGUCACACAAACAAACAAUGACUUCAGAUCACUGGACAAACAUGUCUUUGUAUUGUGUGUCCCCUGGUGCCUUUACAUUUGACUAAAUCUGUAUUGGUUUGUAUGGCAGCAAUGUUGCACUGGUGUUCAUACACUACAAACAAUAACAGCAAUACAGUUUAUAAUACAGAUAUUAUCUAACAACAUGGAAACAUGUUCCUGUUACUCUAGAUCACACUAAAUAUUGAGAAAAUCAUCUUUAAAGUUGUUCAAACUAAGUUCUUAGCAAUGCAUAUUACUAAUUAAAAAUUUACAUUAAGUUUUGAUGUAUUUACAGUAGCAAAUGUACAAAAUAUCUUCAUUGAACAUGAUCUUUACUUAAUAUCCUAAUGAUUUUUGGCAUUAAAGAAAAAUUAAUAAUUUUAACCCAUACAAUGUGUUUUUGGCUACUGCUACAAAUAUCCCUGUGAUACCGAUGACUGCUUCUGUGCUGCAGGAUGAUUUAUGCUUUCUAUGAGUUUGACAUGAAAAACAAUUACACUGGAGAAGAAUUAUCACAGUUUUUGAAAUCAAAAUAGCUAGCACAAAAGUCUAAGCACUUUUAAACAAAGAAAACAAACAGCAUAACGUUACACAAAUGUUAUACUUCCAUCUACCCGAACGUCAGAAAGUAUAUUUAUACACCUAUGUAUUAACAUCUUAACAUGAAUAGAUACAUUGUAGAGCUCCCCCUGCUGGACACAUCAGGAACAUCAGCGCAGUGCAUUAUUGUCCAAGUACUCCUUUGUUUUUCUUUUUUCUUGCAGCUUUAAUUUUUAUGGAAUUA
This 1404-nucleotide long non-coding RNA is filed under the name Carassius auratus (goldfish). RNAcentral describes it as "lncRNA (ENSCARG00000042783.1)". Lineage: Eukaryota; Metazoa; Chordata; Actinopteri; Cypriniformes; Cyprinidae. The record is from RNAcentral.